Molecule: ribosomal RNA, 1560 nt
Filed under: Triticum aestivum (bread wheat)
Lineage: Eukaryota; Viridiplantae; Streptophyta; Magnoliopsida; Poales; Poaceae
Description: partial small subunit ribosomal RNA
Source: RNAcentral
AUGCGGUGUAGGCGCCAUCUCUUCUCCGGCCCAGUCCGCCUGACUGUGUACGUACGUGUCUCCGUCGCUAUCCUAUUUAAACCUCCUCCUCCUCCUCCUCUCUCGACUCUGUCUGCAUCGCAUCCAUCCAUCCAUCCAGGGCUGGCCACCGUACGCCUCCUUCUCUCCCGUCUCCGGCAACGACCAACUCCGGCGGAUCCUCCUCGCUCCUCCGCCCCGCCGCGCAUUCUUCAGGGAGAAGCUAAGCAGGAGAUCAGCAGGGGACUAAGGAGGAGACUUGAUCCUACCGACAUCAGGACUGGGAAGAUGGGUUUCCUGUCACUGCUCGUCGUGGCUUCCAUGCCCAUCGUCCAGGUCCUGCUCAUCGGCGUCAUCGGAGCCUUCCUCGCCUCGGGGUACAGCAAGGUUCUCACCGCCAGCGCUCGCAGGGACAUGAACAAGGUUGUUUUUACAGUCUUCACCCCGUCUCUCAUCUUCGCCAACCUCGCCAAGACGGUCACACUGUCCGACGUCAUCUCCUGGUGGUUCAUGCCGGUGAACAUAGCAAUCACAUUCCUGGUUGGCAGUGCUCUAGGCUGGCUAGCGUGCAAGAUCCUGAAACCGCCGCCGCAUUUCCGUGGCCUCAUCAUGGCCUUCUGCUCAGCAGGAAACCUCGGCAACCUGCUGCUGAUCGUCGUCCCGGCCGUCUGCGACGAAGACGGCAACCCGUUUGGGAACGACCGGAGCCAGUGCCGCUCGCGCGGCCUCUCCUACUCGUCGCUGUCCAUGGCUCUCGGUGGCCUCUUCAUAUGGACGUACACCUACAGCUUGAUGCAGAAGUCCGGCAAACUGUACCACAAGAUGCAGUCCAAGAGCGUCCAGUGCCCCGCCGACAGCGACGAGGAGCAUCUCCAGGGAUUCAAAGCCGGCGACGAGGAAGCGGCUCUCCCCGCAUCGGCUGGACCCGAUGACGAACACAACGAGGGGAGCCAGAUUGAGGCUCCACUACUGUCGUGUGAGAGCGAUGUCGCCAACAACAAAGGGUUCUGGGUAAACCUGAAGGAGGCCGUGCACCAGCUCGUCGAGGAGCUCAUGGCGCCGCCGACCAUAUCCGCGAUGAUUGGAUUCGUUGUUGGGCUAGUGCCAUGGCUGAAGUCGCUGAUCAUCGGCGAAGGCGCCCCUUUCAGAGUUAUCCAGGAUUCUCUGGAGUUGAUGGGCAAUGGCACCAUACCCUGCAUCACCCUCAUCCUGGGAGGAAACCUGACACAAGGGCUGCGGAAGUCGGUGCUGAAGCGCAUGGUGAUCGUGGCGAUCGUGUUUAUCCGCUACGUGGCUAUGCCGGUGAUCGGGAUCGCCGUCGUCCGCGCGGCGCACGGGGUCGGGUUCCUUCCCCAUGACCCUCUCUACCGGUACGUGCUGAUGUUGCAGUUCGCGCUGCCGCCCGCUAUGAACAUCGGGACCAUGGCGCAGCUGUUCGACGUCGGGCAGGAGGAGUGCUCGGUGAUCUUCCUGUGGACGUACCUAGUUGCUGCGGUCGCGCUCACCACAUGGUCCACCGUCUUCAUGUCCAUUCUCUCCUGA